Maniola jurtina (meadow brown) is the source of this 164-nucleotide long non-coding RNA. RefSeq lists it as uncharacterized. The record is from RefSeq and is a predicted model, not a curated record. The transcript has 2 exons. NCBI's taxonomy places the organism in Eukaryota, Metazoa, Arthropoda, Insecta, Lepidoptera, Nymphalidae.
AGACUAACAAAUGGAUCUAAAAGGCUUCGGAGACGAACAGGCGGUUAGACGUCAAGCACGUAGUUUGCCCCUUGAUGCGUCCGUCAAGCAGCUUGAGCCAGCAAACGGCACUUUUCUCAUAUCUCGAACACUGUCCGAACGACGCGUCAAGAAAAAAUAUAAAA